RNAcentral lists this long non-coding RNA (230 nucleotides) under Elaeis guineensis (African oil palm). RNAcentral's name for it is "long non-coding RNA (EGUI_LNC063888)". Lineage: Eukaryota; Viridiplantae; Streptophyta; Magnoliopsida; Arecales; Arecaceae. The record is from RNAcentral.
AUGUAGGCUGCUUCUCUCAGAUCCUUCAUGAAGAAUUAUGACGAUAGCCAAACUUUUAUUUUCUAAAUGUAGGGACAUCAUUUUCAAUUAAGAGAAUGUUAUCCACAUACAACAUAAGAAAUAUAAUUAUUGAACCAUUUUCUCACUUAUAUAUGCAGGGUUCCUCUUCGUUCCUAGUGAAGCCAUACAUUCUGAUCACCUUAUCAAAACGUAUGUUCCAACUCUGAGAU